CCUACGGGAGGCAGCAGUGAGGAAUAUUGGUCAAUGGACGAGAGUCUGAACCAGCCAAGUAGCGUGAAGGAUGACUGCCCUAUGGGUUGUAAACUUCUUUUAUAUGGGAAUAAAAUGUUCCACGUGUGGGAUUUUGUAUGUACCCUAUGAAUAAGGAUCGGCUAACUCCGUGCCAGCAGCCGCGGUAAUACGGAGGAUCCGAGCGUUAUCCGGAUUUAUUGGGUUUAAAGGGAGCGUAGGUGGAUUGUUAAGUCAGUUGUGAAAGUUUGCGGCUCAACCGUAAGAUUGCAGUUGAAACUGGCAGUCUGGAGUACAGUAGAGGUGGGCGGAAUUCGUGGUGUAGCGGUGAAAUGCUUAGAUAUCACGAAGAACUCCGAUUGCGAAGGCAGCUCACUGGACUGCAACUGACACUGAUGCUCGAAAGUGUGGGUAUCAAACAGGAUUAGAUACCCGGGUAGUC
Molecule: ribosomal RNA, 460 nt
Filed under: uncultured bacterium
Lineage: Bacteria
Description: partial 16S ribosomal RNA
Rfam family: Bacterial small subunit ribosomal RNA
Source: RNAcentral